AUAGCGUAUAUUAAAGUUGUUGCAGUUAAAAAGCUCGUAGUUGAAGUUUGGUCUCGGACGCUGGGUCUGCUUAAUUGCAUGUACUUGACGGUCCGAGACUUCCUUCUUGGUGAACGGCCGCCUUCGGGUGGUCCGGAACCAGGACUAUUACUUUGAAAAAAUUAGAGUGUUCAAAGCAGGCCAUAGGCCCGAAUAUAUUAGCAUGGAAUAACAGAAUAGGACGUGCGGUUCUAUUUUGUUGGUUUCUAGAACUGCCGUAAUGAUUAAAAGGGACAGCCGGGGGCAUUAGUAUUUGCACGCUAGAGGUGAAAUUCUUGGAUUUAUGAAAGACGAACAACUG
RNAcentral lists this ribosomal RNA (340 nucleotides) under uncultured eukaryote. Its description in RNAcentral is "SSU rRNA". It matches the Rfam family "Eukaryotic small subunit ribosomal RNA", at positions 594 to 945 of the family's 1831-position model. The record is from RNAcentral.